CGGCAGUUUUGUAUGAUGUUACU
Molecule: microRNA, 23 nt
Filed under: Gadus morhua (Atlantic cod)
Lineage: Eukaryota; Metazoa; Chordata; Actinopteri; Gadiformes; Gadidae
Description: gmo-miR-723-5p
Gene: gmo-miR-723-5p
Source: miRBase by way of RNAcentral